UACGUAGGCAGCGAGCGUUGUUCGGAGUUACUGGGCGUAAAGGGUGUGUAGGCGGUUCUCUAAGUUUGGUGUGAAAUCUCCCGGCUCAACCGGGAGGGUGCGCCGAAAACUGGAGGGCUAGAGUGCGGGAAGGGAGAGUAGAAUUCCUGGUGUAGCGGUGAAAUGCGUAGAUAUCAGGAGGAAUACCGGUGGCGAAGGCGGCAUCCUGGACCGGGAUUGACGCUGAGGCGCGAAAGCCAGGGGAGCAAACGGG
This 253-nucleotide ribosomal RNA is filed under the name uncultured bacterium. RNAcentral's name for it is "partial 16S ribosomal RNA". It matches the Rfam family "Bacterial small subunit ribosomal RNA", at positions 524 to 776 of the family's 1533-position model. The record is from RNAcentral.